CCCGAUGGAGGGGGAUAACUACUGGAAACGGUAGCUAAUACCGCAUAACGUCUUCGGACCAAAGUGGGGGACCUUCUGGCCUCACACCAUCGGAUGUGCCCAGAUGGGAUUAGCUAGUAGGUGGGGUAAUGGCUCACCUAGGCGACGAUCCCUAGCUGGUCUGAGAGGAUGACCAGCCACACUGGAACUGAGACACGGUCCAGACUACUACGGGAGGCAGCAGUGGGGAAUAUUGCACAAUGGGCGCAAGCCUGAUGCAGCCAUGCCGCGUGUAUGAAGAAGGCCUUCGGGUUGUAAAGUACUUUCAGCGGGGAGGAAGGCGAUGAGGUUAAUAACCUUGUCGAUUGACGCUACCCGCAGAAGAAGCACCGGCUAACUCCGUGCCAGCAGCCGCGGUAAU
RNAcentral lists this ribosomal RNA (400 nucleotides) under uncultured bacterium. RNAcentral's name for it is "bacterial SSU rRNA". It matches the Rfam family "Bacterial small subunit ribosomal RNA", at positions 129 to 524 of the family's 1533-position model. The record is from RNAcentral.